AUUGAACGCUGGCGGCAUGCUUUACACAUGCAAGUCGAACGGUAACAGGUUAAGCUGACGAGUGGCGAACGGGUGAGUAAUGCAUCGGAACGUGCCCGGUCGUGGGGGAUAACGCAGCGAAAGUUGCGCUAAUACCGCAUACGAUCUGAGGAUGAAAGCGGGGGACCGUAAGGCCUCGCGCGAUUGGAGCGGCCGAUAUCAGAUUAGCUAGUUGGUGGGGUAAAGGCCUACCAAGGCGACGAUCUGUAGCUGGUCUGAGAGGACGACCAGCCACACUGGAACUGAGACACGGUCCAGACUCCUACGGGAGGCAGCAGUGGGGAAUUUUGGACAAUGGGCGCAAGCCUGAUCCAGCAAUGCCGCGUGCAGGACGAAGGCCUUCGGGUUGUAAACUGCUUUUGUACGGAGCGAAAAGGUCUUCUCUAAUACAGGGGGCUGAUGACGGUGCCGUAAGAAUAAGCACCGGCUAACUACGUGCCAGCCGCCGCCGUAA
RNAcentral lists this ribosomal RNA (493 nucleotides) under uncultured bacterium. Its description in RNAcentral is "partial 16S ribosomal RNA". It matches the Rfam family "Bacterial small subunit ribosomal RNA", at positions 30 to 523 of the family's 1533-position model. The record is from RNAcentral.